Long non-coding RNA from Oncorhynchus keta (chum salmon), 1997 nucleotides. RefSeq lists it as uncharacterized. Lineage: Eukaryota; Metazoa; Chordata; Actinopteri; Salmoniformes; Salmonidae. The transcript is spliced from 3 exons. The record is from RefSeq and is a predicted model, not a curated record.
UCUCGGGAGCAUGGGAGAUUAUGCCUGUGCGGUGGUGGAGGCGGGGAAGGGGGGUAGCUGGGGUAAAUAGAUUUUUGGGUAGGAAGUAAUCAUCUUUGUGAAUUUAGAAUAGUUUGUGGAGUGGAGAGACAGAGAGAGACAUACAGAGAAGGAAAGCGGCAGAGAGAGGGAGAGGUAGAGAGAGGUAGAGAGACAGAGAGAGACAUACAGAGAAGGAAAGCGGCAGAGAGAGGGAGAGGUAGAGAGAGGUAGAGAGACAGAGAGAGACAUACAGAGAAGGAAAGCGGCAGAGAGAGGGAGAGGUAGAGAGACAGAGAGAGACAUACAGAGAAGGAAAGCGGCAGAGAGUGGGAGAGGUAGAGAGAGGUAGAGAGACAGAUAGAGACAUACAGAGAAGGAAAGCGGCAGAGAGAGGGAGAUGUAGAGAGAGGUAGAGAGAAAGAGAGACGCAACGAGAGAGAAGUAGAGAGAGAGAGAGAGGUGGAGAGACAGAGAGAGACAUACAGAGAAGGAAAGCGGCAGAGAGAGGGAGAUGUAGAGAGAGGUAGAGAGACAGAGAGACGCAGCGAGAGAGAAGUAGAGAGAGAGAGAGAGAGACAUACAGAGAAGGAAAGCGGCAGAGAGAGGGAGAUGUAGAGAGAGGUAGAGAGACAGAGAGACGCAGCGAGAGAGAAGUAGAGAGAGAGAGAGAGACAUACAGAGAAGGAAAGCGGCAGAGAGAGGGAGAGGUAGAGAGAGGUAGAGAGACAGAGAGAGACAUACAGAGAAGGAAAGCGGCAGAGAGAGGGAGAGGUAGAGAGAGGUAGAGAGACAGAGAGAGACAUACAGAGAAGGAAAGCGGCAGAGAGAGGGAGAUGUAGAGAGAGGUAGAGAGACAGAGAGAGACAUACAGAGAAGGAAAGCGGCAGAGAGAGGGAGAGGUAGAGAGAGGUAGAGAGACAGAGAGAGACAUACAGAGAAGGAAAGCGGCAGAGAGAGGGAGAGGUAGAGAGAGGUAGAGAGACAGAGAGAGACAUACAGAGAAGGAAAGCGGCAGAGAGAGGGAGAGGUAGAGAGAGGUAGAGAGACAGAGAGAGACAUACAGAGAAGGAAAGCGGCAGAGAGAGGGAGAGGUAGAGAGAGGUAGAGAGACAGAGAGAGACAUACAGAGAAGGAAAGCGGCAGAGAGAGGGAGAGGUAGAGAGAGGUAGAGAGACAGAGAGAGACAUACAGAGAAGGAAAGCGGCAGAGAGUGGGAGAAGUAGAGAGAGGUAGAGAGACAGAGAGAGACAUACAGAGAAGGAAAGCGGCAGAGAGAGGGAGAGGUAGAGAGACAGAGAGAGACAUACAGAGAAGGAAAGCGGCAGAGAGAGGGAGAGGUAGAGAGAGGUAGAGAGACAGAGAGAGACAUACAGAGAAGGAAAGCGGCAGAGAGAGGGAGAGGUAGAGAGAGGUAGAGAGACAGAGAGAGACAUACAGAGAAGGAAAGCGGCAGAGAGAGGGAGAGGUAGAGAGAGGUAGAGAGACAGAGAGAGACAUACAGAGAAGGAAAGCGGCAGAGAGAGGGAGAGGUAGAGAGACAGAGAGAGACAUACAGAGAAGGAAAGCGGCAGAGAGAGGGAGAUGUAGAGAGAGGUAGAGAGACAGAGAGAGACAUACAGAGAAGGAAAGCGGCAGAGAGAGGGAGAUGUAGAGAGAGGUAGAGAGAGAGAGAGAGACAUACAGAGAAGGAAAGCGGCAGAGAGAGGGAGAGGUAGAGAGAGGUAGAGAGACAGAGAGAGACAUACAGAGAAGGAAAGCGGCAGAGAGAGGGAGAGGUAGAGAGAGGUAGAGAGACAGAGAGAGACAUACAGAGAAGGAAAGCGGCAGAGAGAGGGAGAUGUAGAGAGAGGUAGAGAGACAGAGAGACGCAGCGAGAGAGAAGAAGAGAGACAGAGAGAGGGAGAUGUAGAGAGAGAGAGAGAGAGUAUGAGAAAGGCAGAGAGAGAGAGGUAGAGAGAAGGAGAGUCAGGAAGUGG